CCGUAGCCCAAGAGAUCGGGAUAACACCUGGAAACAGAUGCUAAUACCGGAUAACAACAGAUGAUGCCUAUCAACUGUUUAAAAGAUGGUUCUGCCAUCACUCUUGGAUGGACCUGCGGUGCAUUAGCUAGUUGGUAGGGUAACGGCCUACCAAGGCGAUGAUGCAUAGCCGAGUUGAGAGACUGAUCGGCCACAUUGGGACUGAGACACGGCCCAAACUCCUACGGGAGGCAGCAGCC
RNAcentral lists this ribosomal RNA (239 nucleotides) under uncultured Lactobacillus sp. RNAcentral's name for it is "partial 16S ribosomal RNA". It matches the Rfam family "Bacterial small subunit ribosomal RNA", at positions 125 to 355 of the family's 1533-position model. The record is from RNAcentral. Lineage: Bacteria; Bacillati; Bacillota; Bacilli; Lactobacillales; Lactobacillaceae.